ACGGAAGGCAGCAGUGGGGAAUAUUGCACAAUGGGCGAAAGCCUGAUGCAGCAACGCCGCGUGAGGGAAGACGGUCUUCGGAUUGUAAACCUUUGUCCUUGGUGACGAAACAGAUGACGGUAGCCGAGGAGGAAGCCACGGCUAACUACGUGCCAGCAGCCGCGGUAAUACGUAGGUGGCGAGCGUUAUCCGGAUUUACUGGGUGUAAAGGGCGCGUAGGCGGGGAUGCAAGUCAGAUGUGAAAUCUAUGGGCUUAACCCAUAAACUGCAUUUGAAACUGUAUCUCUUGAGUGCUGGAGAGGUAGAUGGAAUUCCUUGUGUAGCGGUGAAAUGCGUAGAUAUAAGGAAGAACACCAGUGGCGAAGGCGAUCUACUGGACAGUAACUGACGCUGAGGCGCGAAAGCGUGGGGAGCAAACAGGAUUAGAUACCCUGGUA
Molecule: ribosomal RNA, 437 nt
Rfam family: Bacterial small subunit ribosomal RNA